Molecule: long non-coding RNA, 317 nt
Organism: Salarias fasciatus (jewelled blenny)
Lineage: Eukaryota; Metazoa; Chordata; Actinopteri; Blenniiformes; Blenniidae
Exons: 3
Source: RefSeq, a predicted model, not a curated record
GCUGCGAUGAAUUUGCUGUGUGGGAGGAGGGACGAGACCAGCGUUUGGAGGUAGAACUGAAACCUGAGUGCACUGAAUACAAAUCGGACUGAGAGAGCUUCAACUUCAGAAAACAUUCGAAGGGUUGUUUAAAAAGAAAAAGAAAAAAAAAAUGGGAAAGCUGAGGAUUUUCAGAUAAGCUAUUCCGACCUAACAAAACUUUGACGUUUACAAUUCUGGUUUACUUUAACACGGUGCUUAUUUUCUAUCUAUGCAAUGAGUGGGUUUCCAACAGUGUUGUGAUGAUAUGAUAAUAGCGGUUUGUUUUUAAACCACAA